RNAcentral lists this ribosomal RNA (397 nucleotides) under uncultured bacterium. RNAcentral's name for it is "partial 16S ribosomal RNA". It matches the Rfam family "Bacterial small subunit ribosomal RNA", at positions 523 to 918 of the family's 1533-position model. The record is from RNAcentral.
AUACGUAGGGGGCGAGCGUUGUCCGGAAUGAUUGGGCGUAAAGGGCGCGUAGGCGGCGCGGUAAGUCUGGAGUGACAGUCCUGCUUUCAAGGUGGGAAUUGCUUUGGAUACUGCCGCGCUUGAGUGCAGGAGAGGUUAUCGGAAUUCCCGGUGUAGCGGUGAAAUGCGUAGAGAUCGGGAGGAACACCAGUGGCGAAGGCGGGUAACUGGACUGCAACUGACGCUGAGGCGCGAAAGUGUGGGGAGCAAACAGGAUUAGAUACCCUGGUAGUCCACACUGUAAACGAUGAAUGCUAGGUGUAAGAGGUAUCGACCCCUUUUGUGCCGGAGUCAACACAAUAAGCAUUCCGCCUGGGGAGUACGGCCGCAAGGUUGAAACUCAAAUGAAUUGACGGGG